UCUACUGGUUUCAGAUGUUGUGAGGUUGGGUUCAGGUCCCUCGCUUGGGAUUUAAAUACUGACCAUAAUAUCAUUUUUCCUCCCUCUCUCUCCUUUCCUUUCUCUCUGACUUCCUUUUUUGCUUACAGAGUGUCAUGCAGUGGGAGAUCUCUUGCUUUGUUUUCCUGUCGAAGUUUGCAUGGUACUGCACAGUUGAUAAACCUCUUGUGAGGGAGGGAGAGCUGGAAGCCAUCUUCCAACCACGGAAGUCUUUGGAUCCUUGCACCUCCAACGCUGCAUUCAAACAGGAUGGGAUCUGCUGGAGCGAAGAAGAGAAAGAAUUUCGGUUGCCACAAUUGAUUGAUUGAUUGAUUGAUUGAUUGUGUGUGUGUGUGUGUGUGUGUGUGUGUGUGUGUGUGUGUGUACACUUGACUGUACAGCCUUGGAGGAACUAGCCAGAAGUCUAAAUCAUCAAAUCCAAUACCUUGGACAUCGUGGCAGGGUGUCCUUUCUCAAGGUCCAUGCCUGAAGCAUGGAUCAGGGUGUCUCUCAGAGGACCAAAGGGCAGAGACAGGCCCAGGGCAUGGGCCAAUGAGAAGGAAGCUACUCCCAGGGCAGCACACCUCCUUCCAGCAGAUCUUACCUGCUAUUAAUAAAACUAUGUUUUCUCAUCCA
Molecule: long non-coding RNA, 654 nt
Organism: Cavia porcellus (domestic guinea pig)
Lineage: Eukaryota; Metazoa; Chordata; Mammalia; Rodentia; Caviidae
Exons: 2
Source: RefSeq, a predicted model, not a curated record